AUUGAACGCUGGCGGCAGGCCUAACACAUGCAAGUCGAACGGUAACAGGAAGUAGCUUGCUUCUUUGCUGACGAGUGGCGGACGGGUGAGUAAUGCCUGGGAAACUGCCUGAUGGAGGGGGAUAACUACUGGAAACGGUAGCUAAUACCGCAUAACGUCGCAAGACCAAAGAGGGGGACCUUCGGGCCUCUUGCCAUCGGAUGUGCCCAGAUGGGAUUAGCUAGUAGGUGGGGUAACGGCUCACCUAGGCGACGAUCCCUAGCUGGUCUGAGAGGAUGACCAGCCACACUGGAACUGAGACACGGUCCAGACUCCUACGGGAGGCAGCAGUGGGGAAUAUUGCACAAUGGGCGCAAGCCUGAUGCAGCCAUGCCGCGUGUAUGAAGAAGGCCUUCGGGUUGUAAAGUACUUUCAGCGGGGAGGAAGGGAGUAAAGUUAAUACCUUUGCUCAUUGACGUUACCCGCAGAAGAAGCACCGGCUAACUCCGUG
This 490-nucleotide ribosomal RNA is filed under the name uncultured bacterium. RNAcentral describes it as "partial 16S ribosomal RNA". It matches the Rfam family "Bacterial small subunit ribosomal RNA", at positions 30 to 507 of the family's 1533-position model. The record is from RNAcentral.